GCUGGGUGUGGUAGCGCACACCUGUAAUCUCAGUGACUUGGGAGACUAAGGCAGGAGAUUCACAAGUCCGAGGCCAGCUUCCACAACUUACUGAGAUCCUGUCUCAA
This 107-nucleotide small RNA is filed under the name Marmota monax (woodchuck). Lineage: Eukaryota; Metazoa; Chordata; Mammalia; Rodentia; Sciuridae. The record is from RNAcentral.